Molecule: ribosomal RNA, 769 nt
Filed under: uncultured eukaryote
Lineage: Eukaryota
Description: eukaryotic LSU rRNA
Rfam family: 5.8S ribosomal RNA (bases 219-372)
Source: RNAcentral
UUCCGUAGGUGAACCUGCGGAAGGAUCAUUACCACAUUUCGUCGAGCACUUUUGUGGUGCUCGCGAUAUCCACCCCACGUGAACAUUGAGAUGUUUCCCGCAUUAUCAAUUUCUCACCCCUCUGUUGACAACACCGACUGAUCGUAUCUUGCGCUGAGCGAAGAGGUUGUGAUUACAGCCUUCUUCAGCUGAGCGCAAGACCAUACAAACCCAACCAAAACUCCUAACGAUGGAUAUCUUGGUUCUCGCAACGAUGAAGAACGCAGCGAAAUGCGAUACGCAGUGCGAAUUGCAGAAUUCAGUGAAUCAUCAGAACUUUGAACGCAUAUUGCGCUCUGAGGUAUUUCUCAGAGCAUGUUUGUCUCAGUGGCAUCUCCCACUCUCCCCCUGCGGGUUUGCGCACGCAUUCGACGCAGGGCGGCAGGAUUGCGAGCCGUCCGAGGUGUGUUUCUCCUGCUGCGAGGCAGGAGCGCAGCUCUGUCGCUCCAAGAGCAGAGUUGGCCCGCUUGGCGACACAUUUGUAAACUGUCUCUGCCCAGCGUAGCGUGGUAGUAGGGUGCCUUGACUGUGCAUCCCUUCCGAUCGCUGUCGCUGUGGUGAUUGGGGCGGGUGUCUGCUAUGUAAGAGCGGUGCUUCCGGCUAGAUCGCACGGCCCGACGUGUGCGGUGUUGCGCCUCCCCUGGAGGUCACACUGUGUUGCUGUCGUGGCUGGACCGUUCAGUAUCUUGCCCUGAGAUCAAGCAAGGCUACCCGCUGAAUUUAAGCAUAU